UACAGAGGUCCCGAGCGUUGUUCGGAUUCAUUGGGCGUAAAGGGUGCGUAGGCGGUCUUCUAAGUUUGAUGUGAAAUCCCGGGGCUUAACCCUGGAAUUGCAUUGAAUACUGGAGGACUAGAGUACCGGAGAGGAAACUGGAAUUUACGGUGUAGCAGUGAAAUGCGUAGAGAUCGUAAGGAAGACCAGUGGCGAAGGCGAGUUUCUGGACGGUAACUGACGCUGAGGCACGAAGGCCAGGGGAGCAAACGGG
Molecule: ribosomal RNA, 253 nt
Filed under: uncultured bacterium
Lineage: Bacteria
Description: partial 16S ribosomal RNA
Rfam family: Bacterial small subunit ribosomal RNA
Source: RNAcentral